Molecule: ribosomal RNA, 254 nt
Filed under: uncultured bacterium
Lineage: Bacteria
Description: partial 16S ribosomal RNA
Rfam family: Bacterial small subunit ribosomal RNA
Source: RNAcentral
UACGAAGGGGACUAGCGUUGUUCGGAUUUACUGGGCGUAAAGCGCGCGUAGGCGGAUCGCUAAGUCAGGGGUGAAAUCCCAGGGCUCAACCCUGGAACUGCCUUUGAUACUGACGAUCUGGAGAUCGGGAGAGGUUGGUGGAAUUCCGAGUGUAGAGGUGAAAUUCGUAGAUAUUCGGAGGAACACCAGUGGCGAAGGCGGCUCACUGGCCCGGUACUGACGCUGAGGCGCGAAAGCGUGGGGAGCAAACAGGG